This 105-nucleotide non-coding RNA is filed under the name Halobacillus sp. Its description in RNAcentral is "SAM-I sequence". It matches the Rfam family "SAM riboswitch aptamer (S box leader)". Rfam says of the family: The SAM riboswitch is found upstream of a number of genes which code for proteins involved in methionine or cysteine biosynthesis in Gram-positive bacteria. RNAcentral also lists the same sequence under 1 other name. The record is from RNAcentral. Lineage: Bacteria; Bacillati; Bacillota; Bacilli; Caryophanales; Bacillaceae.
UUCUUAUCAAGAGAAGUGGAGGAACUGGUCCUAAGAAGCUUCAGCAACCACCAACACAGUUGGCCGGUGCUAAAUCCAGCAGGUUUUAGACCUGACAGAUAAGAG